UCGUUUCUACAAAGCAAAGUAAAACACACACGCAGUCUGCUCACAAAGGCAAGGGUUAUUAUAGAGAUGUGGGGUGAAGAGGUAGGAGUGUAUGAGCUGUAAGAGGCUUUUCUAGUCGGACUUAUGGAGAAUCUCACAUCUCCCUAAAGGCCAGGUGCUACGGGUCUAACAAAGCAGUUUUAUUAACCAGAUCUAUCCAGUGGAAUUACCAGGAGCCUAUUACCGCACCAGCUUCGUUAUGAACUAAUGGAACUGUUCACAGCUUGGUUGAUAAUCACAUCUGAGAUAGAACUACAGACAGUCAGAUACGGAGGAGCUGAGCGACUAAGCAGUAAUUAUGCACUCACACUUUUGUAAGUGGAUGACACCCAACUGGAUGCUGUUCGGUAAGACAAUGGAAGCAAAGUCUGGCAACAUCGGUAAAAAAAGGCUUCUUAUUGAGCCUUGAAUACAGGUAUUGAAUUUUGAUCAUUUUUGCCGUUAAUCGUGGUGGCGAAGACAACAUGGGUACACAUUUUGUAGUUUAGCGGUAAACAUUAUGUUAUCAAUCUACAGCUUACUGUGCAACAAAUUACACCAAUGAACACAAGAUAAUCAAGUAUCAUUUGUGGUCCACUCAGCAGAAAAGACAGCGGGAGAAAGAGGCUCUAUUCUCCCUCUGGAGCUGGAAAGCAGAAACAAAAUGUUCCAGAGCCUGUGGAGCAGAGAGCCUAUAGUGGCUUGGCAAAGUGUUUGCUGCCUCCACCACCAGUAACUGAGGACCCUUGAGAAUUGUCAUUGAAAGCUGAACACCAAACCAUCCUAAGUAUGUGUACAUA
Long non-coding RNA from Sander lucioperca (pikeperch), 818 nucleotides. RefSeq lists it as uncharacterized. The record is from RefSeq and is a predicted model, not a curated record. NCBI's taxonomy places the organism in Eukaryota, Metazoa, Chordata, Actinopteri, Perciformes, Percidae. The transcript is spliced from 2 exons.